GCACCUGGUGGCGAGUGGCGAACGGGUGAGUAAUACAUCGGAACGUACCUUAUCGUGGGGGAUAACGCAGCGAAAGCUGUGCUAAUACCGCAUACGCCCUGAGGGGGAAAGCGGGGGAUCGAAAGACCUCGCGCGAUUAGAGCGGCCGAUGCCUGAUUAGCUUGUUGGUGGGGUAAAAGCCCACCAAGGCGACGAUCAGUAGCUGGUCUGAGAGGACGAUCAGCCACACUGGGACUGAGACACGGCCCAGACUCCUACGGGAGGCAGCAGUGGGGAAUUUUGGACAAUGGGGGAAACCCUGAUCCAGCAAUGCCGCGUGAGUGAAGAAGGCCUUCGGGUUGUAAAGCUCUUUUGUCAGGGAAGAAACACCGGCUCUAACACAGUCCGGGAAUGACGGUACCUGAAGAAUAAGCACCGGCUAACUACGUGCCAGCAGCCGCGGUAAUACGUAGGGUGCGAGCGUUAAUCGGAAUUACUGGGCGUAUAGCGUGCGCAGGCGGUUAUACAAGACAGGCGUGAAAUCCCCGGGCUUAACCUGGGAAUGGCGCCUGUGACUGUAUAGCUAGAGUGUGUCAGAGGGGGGUAGAAUUCCACGUGUAGCAGUGAAAUGCGUAGAUAUGUGGAGGAAUACCAAUGGCGAAGGCAGCCCCCUGGGAUAACACUGACGCUCAUGCACGAAAGCGUGGGGAGCAAACAGGAU
RNAcentral lists this ribosomal RNA (700 nucleotides) under uncultured beta proteobacterium. RNAcentral describes it as "bacterial SSU rRNA". It matches the Rfam family "Bacterial small subunit ribosomal RNA", at positions 81 to 778 of the family's 1533-position model. Lineage: Bacteria; Pseudomonadati; Pseudomonadota; Betaproteobacteria. The record is from RNAcentral.